AUUACCUUCCUCCUGACGAUAAGAGGGGCAUCAUCAUCAUCAUCCUCCAGAAUGGAAAAUGCUGAGGCUGACCGUUUGCGGCUUGGGGCACUCUUAGCUGUAGUAGGCUUGGCAGGGAGAGAAGAAGAUGGACGAGCAGACUGUUUAGUGCGACGAGAAAGAGAAGGACUCCGAACAGACAAAGGAGUGACCAAAACAGGAGGAGGAGAAGAAAUGCUCGGCUGGUCUAAUGAAUGAAAGACAUGAUUGGCGUCAGUCGCAAAUAACCUGCGCUUCACCGACGGCCAGAGUUGUUCAAAAAGAGGGUGACUGGCGUGGCUAAAAUUGAAAGGGGCUAAUGAAAAAUGGCUGGUUAAAAGAAGAUUGCGAGCAUUUAUAGCCUCUGCCUCCACCUUAUUAAUAGUGUGAAAACGGUCUAUUAAGUUCCUUGAAUAGUAAGGAGGAACAGACCAAGUUUGACCGAAACCAAGCUGGCGAGCAAAAAAUUGGGGAGCAUAAAUUUCUAUCCCUGCCUUGGCAUUGGUCCCAGUCAAGAUAUCAUGAAAUAACUCCCUCCCGGUUAAAAACUGGAUCCAAAUGAGCAGGGAGGUGCUCGCGCUGUCUAUAGUGGAGGGGGGAUGUACAUAGUUUAGAGUCAAAAAAGGAGGAAAAGGAAAAAAAAAGAGAUUGAAUCCAAAGAAUAAAAGAAUGAAAAAUGUCCCUUCUGGACAUAUUUAUAGGAGCCAAGGGCUCCAUGGCUAGCCCAUAGCAGCUAGCAGAGGAGCGAGAGAUUGAUGGAGCACCAAGCAAUGGAAAAUAGGAUCUCAACCACAGUUAAGUGAACCAAAGAGGUCCACUGCCAGUGGGAGAUGCACCAUUCUUCAAUUGAGUUUGAAGAGAGGCCAUGCCUCUAUAAAGGGCAGCAAAAAACAAAGAACAUAAAUUCAAAGGCCUGCCACGUGCCAAUUCGUGCGCUAUAGGUAAGUAACUCAGGGAGGGCUUUAUGCUUGGCACACACAAAACAUAUUUACAAAGUCAAACUAGAAGGAAGGCCACUCGCUCAGUAUGGGAAGACUCAGCGCUCGAAUGAUUGUGAAGGGUUUGCAGGUUUGAAUACGAACCGGUGUAGUUUUUACCAAACUUUGGGGCGCCACCAGAAUCCAAGAUACCAAGAAAAAUGGUAUCGCCCAAAGGUGGUAGAUUCACCGGAGCCCCAACAUCCCUUAAGGUAAUAGACAUGGGGCCAAGAGGGAAAAUAAAGGUGUUAUACUCGGAAGACCAAAAACUCAAAGCAACCGAAAAGAGUGCUGAAUCAAAAGUAGGGGGGCGAAUAGAGAUUUCUAACAAAUCAGAAAUCCUAGCGCUAUCAAAAAAUGCCUUAGUAGGACCAUGACCCACAAGGCGAGCAUGCCACCUACGAAAAGCUACAUCAGAUUUAGGCCAAGUGCGAAUACCUCUUUCGCGAAGUGACCCCAACGGUAGAGAGUUUAGAAAAGGAGGACCUUAAGUGCAAGGGAACAGCUGACCCACCGCCACCUGUUCAACUGCCUCUGCAUUGUUGAAGAAAGGACCCAAGUAGAACUCAUUACGUUCAACAUCGACGGGCGCAAGAAAACUCGGAGUUAUGUAUGGACGACUCAGAAGUUUCUGAAAGUCAUCAAAACUAAAGGAGUCGCCAGCUUGAGAUUGUGAAGCAGCCAUUUGAGAAGGACGAAGUUUUUCAGGGUUACGUAGCAGGGAAGCAAAAGAUGAACAGUAAAUCGUGAGAGAAACGCAAAAAAUUUGAGGCGUGGUUUAAUGGUGCAGUGAAAUGGCGUGUUUGGCGUGUUUGGGGAUUAUAAGGGUUUGCGAAACGACGCACCUUUUCAAGUUAUAGAAGAAAACAAUGAUUGAAAUUCUUGGAAAUUUCGAAUGUUGCUGGAAACACGAAGUGAAUAUGGUAAAAUUUAAUAAUUAUUAUUAAUUCUGCCAUAUUGGGGGGUAAUUGUUGACACAUAAAAAUUCAGCACAAAUCGAACGGCCCAAGGAGUGAAGCCCAAUUGAAGGAUCCCCAAAUCAGAUGGCCCAAAGAACGAAG
Molecule: long non-coding RNA, 2056 nt
Filed under: Olea europaea subsp. europaea
Lineage: Eukaryota; Viridiplantae; Streptophyta; Magnoliopsida; Lamiales; Oleaceae
Source: RNAcentral